RNAcentral lists this small RNA (156 nucleotides) under Pongo abelii (Sumatran orangutan). RNAcentral's name for it is "retained intron". The record is from RNAcentral. Lineage: Eukaryota; Metazoa; Chordata; Mammalia; Primates; Hominidae.
CCUAGAUUCUCCUGAAUCCCGGCGGUCCCGGCAACGCUCCGGACGCUGCUGGCCUGUUCUCCACCGUAGCUCGACUUCCACCUCUAAGACUCGCACCUUCAAGAUUCUUUCGUCUAGUGUUUUGGGUUCCCUACACCAGGAUUGUGGACGAAGCGC